This 575-nucleotide long non-coding RNA is filed under the name Theobroma cacao (cacao). Its description in RNAcentral is "long non-coding RNA (TCAC_LNC006282)". Lineage: Eukaryota; Viridiplantae; Streptophyta; Magnoliopsida; Malvales; Malvaceae. The record is from RNAcentral.
UUUAAGCGGUAGUCGGAUAAGUUGCAUAUCAUAUCAUGCAUAUACAUCGAGCCUGAAUUGAUUUUAUAAUGGUCAAGCAUUAAUGUGGUGAAUUAUGUAUUGUACAUUGUGGAUAGGUGGUGAGCAAAUUACACUAGUAAAAGUACAGAGAUUUUGCUUGAAGAUUGGGAUUAGGAGUACAUCGACUCCUAGAACUGUGAGUAAACUUAUUAUCGUCUUAAUUAUCUAGAGUAGUUUUAUAAAAAAUGGGUUUAAAUGGUAAAUUACUACGUUGUAGGAGAAAUUGUGAUUUUAUAAAAUGAUUUUAUAAAUUUUUUGAAAAAUUGAAUACUGGUUUUGAAAAUAGAGUAAUUGAAGACUGCCUGCUUGUGUUAUAAAUUGUGUUUUAAAUUAUAUGGCUUAUAGCAAUAUGUGAGCAUGAAUGGCAAAGUCGGUAUUUGUAUCAAAAUUAUAUAUACUAUGUAUUCAGCCUUGGGAGCCUAGAUUGCGAUAAAUUGCCAUGUCAUGCAGAUAAGGAUUUUAUAAAUCAGGUGGUAGAUAAAAUAAUUCAUAGUCACUGCAGUGGUGGGGGUUUU